UACGUAGGUGGCAAGCGUUGUCCGGAAUUAUUGGGCGUAAAGAGCUCGUAGGCGGUCUGUCGCGUCUGCUGUGAAAUCCCGGGGCUUAACUCCGGGCGGGCAGUGGAUACGGGUAGACUAGAGGCCGGUAGGGGAAAGCGGAAUUCCCGGUGUAGCGGUGAAAUGCGCAGAUAUCGGGAGGAACACCGGUGGCGAAGGCGGCUUUCUGGGCCGGACCUGACGCUGAGGAGCGAAAGCGUGGGGAGCGAACAGG
Molecule: unclassified non-coding RNA, 253 nt
Filed under: uncultured Actinomycetes bacterium
Lineage: Bacteria; Bacillati; Actinomycetota; Actinomycetes
Description: uncultured actinobacterium contains 16S-23S intergenic spacer region
Rfam family: Bacterial small subunit ribosomal RNA
Source: RNAcentral